RNAcentral lists this ribosomal RNA (256 nucleotides) under uncultured bacterium. RNAcentral describes it as "partial 16S ribosomal RNA". It matches the Rfam family "Bacterial small subunit ribosomal RNA", at positions 521 to 776 of the family's 1533-position model. The record is from RNAcentral.
UAAUACAGAGGGUGCAAGCGUUGUCCGGAAUCACUGGGCGUAAAGGGCGCGUAGGCGGCCUGAUAAGUCGGGGGUGAAACGCUGCGGCUCAACCGCAGCACUGCCUUCGAGACUGUUGGGCUUGAGCACGGUAGAGGCUGGUGGAAUUCCCGGUGUAGCGGUGGAAUGCGUAGAGAUCGGGAAGAACAUCGGUGGCGAAGGCGGCCAGCUGGGCCGUUGCUGACGCUGAGGCGCGACAGCGUGGGGAGCAAACAGG